This 390-nucleotide long non-coding RNA is filed under the name Dromaius novaehollandiae (emu). RNAcentral's name for it is "lncRNA (ENSDNVG00000005129.1)". The record is from RNAcentral. Lineage: Eukaryota; Metazoa; Chordata; Aves; Casuariiformes; Dromaiidae.
ACCCUACUUUGUGGCUUACUACUAAGGAAUAGCAGGUCUUUUUCUUUUUUCUUUCUUUCUUUCUUUCUUUCUUUCUUUCUUUCUUUCUUUCUUCUUUUUUUUUCCUGUUCAGGAGAUUGAGUAAUUAGACUUAUCACUAUCACAAGGCUUCAGGGAAAGAGCAACAACACUACUCUUCUCCAGGUCUUCUGACUCCGACAUACAUCAACGCUGCUGCUUUCAACCAGAGUUACAGCAAUUUACACCACCAUAUUAUCUACAUUAUAAAGCAUUAGUGACUCACAAAUACAGUAACGAAGAUAGAACAACAGGAUGCAAGAAAAGCAGUAGAGGAAGGCUUCCAUUUCCUCAAGAAAUGAAGCACUGGACUUCUACAAUGACGCUCACCUG